AGCGAGGGCGAGCCCCGAGAAAGCUUGGCAUGAAAGAUCACUGACGGAACGGCGAGUUUGUCUAAAAGGUAGAAAUUCCAGGAACGGGAAAAAGAAGUUGGCUGCCGACAAAUUGCAACAAAGCCUCAUGUGGCUCCUCACUCGGGCUAGACGAGAGAGUCGCAAUUCCGUCCGCGACAGCGCUCGAUCGGCUGCCAAGGGCAUGAACAGAAAAUACGAGAAAAACCGACGACACAGUUCCAGCGCCGCGACUGGACGCUAGGCUUCCCUGAAAUACCACGAAUGCUCUGAUGAGACAUGCUCGCUGGUGACUGGAGGAACCCGAGACGCGGCAGUGAAGGAAAGAAGUUGACGUUCACGUGUGAAUCUCGAAUUGCCAUUCACAGAUGCGUUCGGAGGCUUCCGCACAUUUGGUACUUCUGGAUAUCUCGCGGUUCAUACCCAUCCUUAGCGGCUGUGGAAGCGCAUCGAUGGAAUUCGUCUGCAUGUCUGGGAGGGCACUUGAGACGGAGUCUCGCGUUCAGAAGGAUAUCGACAGACUGCUUCGAAGGGUCAGGUAACAAGACAUGAUACCUAGAUUUUCGGCCAAGGAAAAUGAAACGCCUGGCCGUGAUAUUGGAGGGAGUUGCAUGAGGAAAGACCAGGUGAUGUACGAGGGUGUAAAGCGUAAAACUGACCAACUGCCUCAGGUGCAUAUUCGAGACUUCGAACGUGAAUCUCUGAUUUCGGUCUGGUCUUAGGGUUUAGAAACGUAGAAACGGUGGCGUGGACUGAGACAUUUUCCAAGUCCCUAAACCAAGGGUGAAAGACGUGUAAUUUUCCGCGGUUCCUCGGCUUCGAGGUGGUCACACGGUGUUGAGAACCGCUUCGUUUUCUUCGAUGAAAACACGGGCAAACCAUCGUCGUUCCUCAUUGUUACAAAGUGGAAUGAAGAGUGAUAUUUGCAUUCGAACAGAUGGAGCUUCUUUUCCCGCGCGAGGCGGACUAGAGUUUCCGGAAAGAGGCGAAGGUUCCAGGGUUCCUUGUACGAGCUCUCCGGAAAACUAGCUUGUGAUCGAAGCCAAACAUCAAGUGUAUGAGUUGAAGACAUUUCCGCUUUUUCACGAUGUUACCUAGAUGUUGGCUGCUACAGAAUUUCAGGCAAACGGUAUGUUACCCCUGUCCGCGAGAAAAUAUGGCUGUUUACCUUGAAAUGAUCAACUCGUUGGCUGCCCUCCGGGGUUCUCCAUGAAUUCUACAGCUCCGCACGAUGGCAACAGCACACCUUCGGCGUGUUGAACUUUGUGUCUCCGAUGCACGUUGUUCUUCUGCUAUUUUCAACUAUGCCGCCAGACACCUAUUAAUGUUCAUGU
RNAcentral lists this long non-coding RNA (1352 nucleotides) under Toxoplasma gondii VEG. Lineage: Eukaryota; Apicomplexa; Conoidasida; Eucoccidiorida; Sarcocystidae. The record is from RNAcentral.